ACACAAGGAAAGAGGCGAUCCUCUUGCUAUAAACUGAAAAGUAUCCAACAAGAAGAAAAGCAGGAGAUUUUAGUGUGACUUAAUGUAGCCCCUCUUCCUACAGAAUGAUACAAAGAGCCAAAAGAAGAACUGGACAGAGCUGUCUGCUUGAAGCAUGAGCAAGAUGAAAAGAAGCAAUAUGGUUACUAAGCAAGCAUUUUGCA
RNAcentral lists this long non-coding RNA (203 nucleotides) under Homo sapiens (human). RNAcentral's name for it is "HSALNT0233059". Lineage: Eukaryota; Metazoa; Chordata; Mammalia; Primates; Hominidae. The record is from RNAcentral.